Molecule: ribosomal RNA, 440 nt
Filed under: uncultured bacterium
Lineage: Bacteria
Description: partial 16S ribosomal RNA
Rfam family: Bacterial small subunit ribosomal RNA
Source: RNAcentral
CCUACGGGUGGCUGCAGUGGGGAAUAUUGCACAAUGGGGGAAACCCUGAUGCAGCGACGCCGCGUGAGUGAAGAAGUAAUUCGUUAUGUAAAGCUCUUUCAGCAGGGAAGAAAAUGACGGUACCUGAGUAAGAAUCCCCGGCUAACUACGUUCCAGCAGCCGCGGUAAUACGGAGGGGGCAAGCGUUAUCCGGAUUUACUGGGGGUAAAGGGAGCGUAGACGGCAGUGCAAGCCUGGAGUGAAAGGCUGGGGCUCAACCCCCGGACUGCUGUGGAAACUGUACGGCUGGAGUGCAGGAGAGGUAAGUGGAAUUCGUAGUGUAGCGGUGAAAUGCGUAGAUAUUAGGAGGAACCCCAGUUGCGAAGGCGGCUUACUGGACUGUAACUGACGUUGAUGCUCGAAAGCGUGGGGAGCGAACAGGAUUAGAUACCCCGGUAGUC